Molecule: transfer RNA, 85 nt
Filed under: Felis catus (domestic cat)
Lineage: Eukaryota; Metazoa; Chordata; Mammalia; Carnivora; Felidae
Also listed under: 2 other names
Rfam family: tRNA
About the family: Transfer RNA (tRNA) molecules are approximately 80 nucleotides in length. Their secondary structure includes four short double-helical elements and three loops (D, anti-codon, and T loops). Further hydrogen bonds mediate the characteristic L-shaped molecular structure. tRNAs have two regions of fundamental functional importance: the anti-codon, which is responsible for specific mRNA codon recognition, and the 3' end, to which the tRNAs corresponding amino acid is attached (by aminoacyl-tRNA synthetases). tRNAs cope with the degeneracy of the genetic code in two manners: having more than one tRNA (with a specific anti-codon) for a particular amino acid; and 'wobble' base-pairing, i.e. permitting non-standard base-pairing at the 3rd anti-codon position.
Source: Rfam by way of RNAcentral
GCCUGUGUGGCUCAGUUGGUUAAGCGUCUGACUUCAGCUCAGGUCGUGAUCUCAUGAUUUGUGGGUUUGAGCCCCACGUCAGGCU